RNAcentral lists this ribosomal RNA (433 nucleotides) under uncultured bacterium. RNAcentral's name for it is "partial 16S ribosomal RNA". It matches the Rfam family "Bacterial small subunit ribosomal RNA", at positions 29 to 507 of the family's 1533-position model. The record is from RNAcentral.
AACGAACGCUGGCUGCAUGCCUAACACAUGCAAGUCUAACGAGACCUUCGGGUCUAGUGGCGCACGGGUGCGUAACGCGUGGGAACCUGCCCUUAGGUUCGGAAUAACUCCCCGAAAGGGGUGCUAAUACCGGAUAAUGUCUUCGGACCAAAGAUUUAUCGCCUUUGGAUGGGCCCGCGUUGGAUUAGCUAGUUGGUAGGGUAAAAGCCUACCAAGGCGACGAUCCAUAGCUGGUCUGAGAGGAUGAGCAGCCACACUGGGACUGAGACACGGCCCAGACUCAUACGGGAGGGAGAAGUGGGAAAGAUUGGAAAAGGGGCGAAAGGCGGAUCCAGAAAGGCAGCGUGAGUGAUGAAGGCCUUAGGGUUGUAAAGCUAUGUUACCGGGGAUAAUAAUAAAAGUACCGGGAGAAUAAGCAACGGCUAAAUCCGUG